CGUGAAAUUCCGUCGGAAUCUGGGAGGACCAUCUCCUAAGGCUAAAUACUCUCUAGUGACCGAUAGUGAACCAGUACCGUGAGGGAAAGGUGAAAAGCACCCCGGAAGGGGAGUGAAAUAGAACCUGAAACCGUGUGCUUACAAGUAGUCAGAGCCCGUUAAUGGGUGAUGGCGUGCCUUUUGUAGAAUGAACCGGCGAGUUACGAUUUGAUGCAAGGUUAAGCAGUAAAUGUGGAGCCGUAGCGAAAGCGAGUCUGAAUAGGGCGUUUAGUAUUUGGUCGUAGACCCGAAACCAGGUGAUCUACCCUUGGUCAGGUUGAAGUUCAGGUAACACUGAAUGGAGGACCGAACCGACUUACGUUGAAAAGUGAGCGGAUGAACUGAGGGUAGCGGAGAAAUUCCAAUCGAACCUGGAGAUAGCUGGUUCUCUCCGAAAUAGCUUUAGGGCUAGCCUCAAGUGAUGAUUAUUGGAGGUAGAGCACUGUUUGGACGAGGGGCCCCUCUCGGGUUACCGAAUUCAGACAAACUCCGAAUGCCAAUUAAUUUAACUUGGGAGUCAGAACAUGGGUGAUAAGGUCCGUGUUCGAAAGGGAAACAGCCCAGACCACCAGCUAAGGUCCCAAAAUAUAUGUUAAGUGGAAAAGGAUGUGGCGUUGCCCAGACAACUAGGAUGUUGGCUUAGAAGCAGCCAUCAUUUAAAGAGUGCGUAAUAGCUCACUAGUCGAGUGACACUGCGCCGAAAAUGUACCGGGGCUAAACAUAUUACCGAAGCUGUGGAUUGUCCUUUGGACAAUGGUAGGAGAGCGUUCUAAGGGCGUUGAAGCAUGAUCGUAAGGACAUGUGGAGCGCUUAGAAGUGAGAAUGCCGGUGUGAGUAGCGAAAGACGGGUGAGAAUCCCGUCCACCGAUUGACUAAGGUUUCCAGAGGAAGGCUCGUCCGCUCUGGGUUAGUCGGGUCCUAAGCUGAGGCCGACAGGCGUAGGCGAUGGAUAACAGGUUGAUAUUCCUGUACCACCUAUAAUCGUUUUAAUCGAUGGGGGGACGCAGUAGGAUAGGCGAAGCGUGCGAUUGGAUUGCACGUCUAAGCAGUAAGGCUGAGUAUUAGGCAAAUCCGGUACUCGUUAAGGCUGAGCUGUGAUGGGGAGAAGACAUUG
RNAcentral lists this ribosomal RNA (1153 nucleotides) under Staphylococcus aureus. Its description in RNAcentral is "partial 23S ribosomal RNA". It matches the Rfam family "Bacterial large subunit ribosomal RNA", at positions 425 to 1581 of the family's 2925-position model. The record is from RNAcentral. Lineage: Bacteria; Bacillati; Bacillota; Bacilli; Caryophanales; Staphylococcaceae.